Molecule: long non-coding RNA, 317 nt
Filed under: Trifolium pratense (red clover)
Lineage: Eukaryota; Viridiplantae; Streptophyta; Magnoliopsida; Fabales; Fabaceae
Description: long non-coding RNA (TPRA_LNC001335)
Source: RNAcentral
GCAAUGCAUGUAACACUUCUGGCAGAGUGAUUUUACUCAAAUCUUUUGUGUUCUCCAAGGCGGCUAUAAAGGCUUCAUAUCUUUCAGGUACCGUUACAAGGAGUUUUUCCACAAUUCUGGAAUCAGAAAAUUGAGUGCCUAGUAAUCGUACCUUAUUAGCGAUACCCAAUAAUUUAUCAGCGUGUCUUGAUUGUUUCAUCCUCCUUCAUUCUUUGCAACUCGAACUCUCUCAAUAAAUUCAUAACUUGCAUGCUUCGAAUCCUUUCAUCUCCUUUAUAUUCUUCUUUUAGGUAAUCCCAAAUUUCUUUUGGUGUUUU